Molecule: transfer RNA, 73 nt
Filed under: Candidatus Aciduliprofundum sp. MAR08-339
Lineage: Archaea; Methanobacteriati; Thermoplasmatota
Also listed under: 3 other names
Description: tRNA-Phe (GAA) (tRNA-Phe-GAA-1-1)
Rfam family: tRNA
About the family: Transfer RNA (tRNA) molecules are approximately 80 nucleotides in length.
Source: RNAcentral
GCCGCGGUAGCUCAGCAGGGAGAGCGUCAGACUGAAGAUCUGAAGGUCGCCGGUUCGAUUCCGGCCCGCGGCA